GGUUGUAAAGCACUUUAAGCGAGGAGGAAGGUUCGUUACUUAAUACGUAACGGAAUUGACGUUACUCGCAGAAUAAGCACCGGCUAACUCUGUGCCAGCAGCCGCGGUAAUACAGAGGGUGCAAGCGUUAAUCGGAAUUACUGGGCGUAAAGCGCGCGUAGGCGGUUGUGUAAGUUGGAGGUGAAAUCCCCGGGCUCAACCUGGGCAUUGCCUUCAAAACUGCACGGCUAGAGUAUGGGAGAGGAAGGUAGAAUUCCAGGUGUAGCGGUGAAAUGCGUAGAGAUCUGGAGGAAUACCGAUGGCGAAGGCAGCCUUCUGGCCUAAUACUGACGCUGAGGUGCGAAAGCAUGGGGAGCAAACAGGAUUAGAUACCCUGGUAGUCCAUGCCGUAAACGAUGUCAACUAGGUGUUGGGGAACUUGAUUCCUUAGUGCCGCAGCUAACGCAUUAAGUUGACCGCCUGGGGAGUACGGUCGCAAGACUAAAACUCAAAUGAAUUGACGGGGGCCCGCACAAGCGGUGGAGCAUGUGGUUUAAUUCGAUGCAACGCGAAGAACCUUACCUACUCUUGACAUCCAGAGAAUCCUGUAGAGAUACGGGAGUGCCUUCGGGAAUUCUGAGACAGGUGCUGCAUGGCUGUCGUCAGCUCGUGUCGUGAGAUGUUGGGUUAAGUCCCGCAACGAGCGCAACCCUUAUCCUUAGUUGCCAGCACGUAAUGGUGGGAACUCUAGGGAGACUGCCGGUGACAAACCGGAGGAAGGCGGGGACGACGUCAAGUCAUCAUGGCCCUUACGAGUAGGGCUACACACGUGCUACAAUGGUCGGUACAAAGGGUUGCUAGCCCGCGAGGGUACGCCAAUCUCAAAAAGCCGAUCGUAGUCCGGAUUGGAGUCUGCAACUCGACUCCAUGAAGUCGGAAUCGCUAGUAAUCGCGGAUCAGAAUGCCGCGGUGAAUACGUUNUAGGGCC
This 967-nucleotide ribosomal RNA is filed under the name uncultured bacterium. Its description in RNAcentral is "bacterial SSU rRNA". It matches the Rfam family "Bacterial small subunit ribosomal RNA", at positions 421 to 1380 of the family's 1533-position model. The record is from RNAcentral.